Molecule: long non-coding RNA, 289 nt
Filed under: Lathyrus oleraceus (garden pea)
Lineage: Eukaryota; Viridiplantae; Streptophyta; Magnoliopsida; Fabales; Fabaceae
Description: Pisum sativum (pea) long non-coding RNA (PSAT_LNC004467)
Source: RNAcentral
CUCUGAUUGUAUUUUGUUGAGAAUCACCUCCAGGCUUGUUGGAUGGGAUUCAUUUGCGUGUAAGCCAUCUCUUGGAUCUUUUUGUUAAGAAUCACCUCCAGGCUUGUUGGAUGGGAUUCUUUUUCUUUGUACGUUGUUUAUUCAGAUAUUCUGUUGACAUUGGUUGUAUGCCUUUUUACCCUUAUGUAUAUAUAAGGAUGUCAGCAUUUCCUUGUAUCUGUUUGUUCUCUUGUUGCUGCAGGUUGCCAUCUUUUCAGGAUGGGUCAGGCUCUUUGAAUGCCUGAGAAAU